This 198-nucleotide ribosomal RNA is filed under the name uncultured bacterium. RNAcentral's name for it is "partial 16S ribosomal RNA". It matches the Rfam family "Bacterial small subunit ribosomal RNA", at positions 328 to 539 of the family's 1533-position model. The record is from RNAcentral.
ACGCUCGACACCUACGGGAGGCAGCAGUGGGGAAUAUUGCACAAUGGAGGAAACUCUGAUGCAGCGAUGCCGCGUGAGGGAAGAAGGUUUUCGGAUUGUAAACCUCUGUCUUUGGGGACGAUAAUGACGGUACCCAAGGAGGAAGCUCCGGCUAACUACGUGCUAGCAGCCGCGGUAAUCNGAGCGGGCUGGCAAGGC